Spinacia oleracea (spinach) is the source of this 671-nucleotide long non-coding RNA. RefSeq lists it as uncharacterized. NCBI's taxonomy places the organism in Eukaryota, Viridiplantae, Streptophyta, Magnoliopsida, Caryophyllales, Amaranthaceae. The record is from RefSeq and is a predicted model, not a curated record. The transcript is spliced from 3 exons.
CCGACUACAUAUCUCAUUGUUCUAGAUGUUCAUUUAGGGAGUCUUCAAUACUACACAACAUAUGUGGAAUUCAAAUUAUGCAUCGCCAGGUGUAGGAACAUGCACAAAGUUAUCAUGUUUGAGUUCCGCGUGUGCUCAAUCUAAGGGGUCGAGUGAGUUUGUUUGACCUAGGUCUCCGGUUGAUGUCUCUUGGGAGAAGGAGACUAGGAUCUAUGGAGGAGGAUGGGCAAUAGUUGGAACUACUAUGCACGGUGGUGGAAACUAUGGUCUAACACACUCCGCCUUAUCAUCGGAUGCGAAGGAGACCCAUGAAGCUCUUAAAUGGUCAGCGACGAUAGAUAGGAAGGAAGUCUUAAUCCUUACAGACUCGACACAACUAAUUGAUGAGCUCUCUUCAAAGACUGCAAAUAAUAUCCCUAUGGUUUGGACAAUUGCAGACUUUCACAAAAUGCACCUUCCUAAAGGUGGAUCGGAAGCAAGUCAAAACGGAACAUGAAAUCGUAACCAUGUGCAAUUUGGUCUUAAACUUCUUUUAGUAGUAGUAGUUUUUCGUUAACUUAGUUGUCUUUAGCCUUUGUCCAAAAAAAAAAGAGUUGGAUUUUUUUUUCAGACGGUCUCCCCAAAUAUUUUGAUCAAAUUAGUUAGUUUUUUUUACAUACACUACUAUAUUC